GUAGGGUGCGAGCGUUAAUCGGAAUUACUGGGCGUAAAGCGUGCGCAGGCGGUUCGUUAAGUUCGUUGUGAAAGCCCCGGGCUCAACCUGGGAACUGCAAUGGAAACUGGCGGGCUUGAGUAUGGCAGAGGGGGGUGGAAUUCCGCGUGUAGCAGUGAAAUGCGUAGAGAUGCGGAGGAACACCGAUGGCGAAGGCAGCCCCCUGGGCCAAUACUGACGCUCAGGCACGAAAGCGUGGGGAGCAAACAGGAUUAGAUACCCUGGUAGUCCACGCCCUAAACGAUGCUCACUAGGUGUUGGGGAAGCGAUUCCUUGGUACCGUAGCUAACGCGUGGAAGUGAGCCGCCUGGGGAGUGCGGUCGCAAGGCUG
This 370-nucleotide ribosomal RNA is filed under the name uncultured bacterium. RNAcentral's name for it is "bacterial SSU rRNA". It matches the Rfam family "Bacterial small subunit ribosomal RNA", at positions 527 to 896 of the family's 1533-position model. The record is from RNAcentral.